GUUGUCGGUCAAGGCCUGCCUUUACCACUUGUGGGGUUGGCUGUCAGUGACUUAUGGAUUACCCCGCAUAGUAGGAUAAUCAGUCCUACGUAUGGCGGCACGGUUCAUUUGAGGCUUGAACCCAUGACGAGCAUUUUGUUAAGUCGUACGAGUUGACGACCACGAGACCGAUUGAGGUAUUUUAUGAAGACUGUACGAAGCUCCUAUAAAAAAAAUAAAGAAAAGAGUGUGUAAAAACUACUUGAGUAGGUGGUCAUUCACACUAGGGUUAAUUCUGACUUACUGGGACAGUUGUUUUAUGAAGAUACCCUCUUGAACCUAUGUGGUGCCGUUAACAUCAUUCAAAUUGCCUGCUAUUGCUAUUGCCUAUAGCUAUUGACUGCAUUGGCUCUAUCACAUCUCAUCGAGAGCUUGGUGAGUUCAGACCGAUCAAUUGAGUUGAAAUAAGUUCCAACAUUAAAUCGUAAACCUGCUAAUUUUAUACGACAUUUGUCCACACAAUCAAGUUACACAUGAUGAAGUCGUCAACCAACUCUAAAGUGCUAGCCACAUUAGUUUUGUUACAAAUGAUCUAUUUAGUAUCGUUUUCACAUGCAUAUACAUUCCUGAUUCGUAACACAAAAAGUCAAGUUCAAGAAGAUAGCUGCUACGACGAAUCGCUACAAAUAAAUGUUCCUGUAAAUGAGGAACGACAGCGUCCCGGAAAAUGUGAAUCCAUCAGGUGCAGUGAUGAUUAUUCACUUCAUGGUAUUGGAUGUGGAUUUUUUGCGGUUGGGCCUGGCAUGGUGUUAACUAAGAUUGACUAUUCAAAACCGUUUCCAGAUUGCUGCCCGAAAGCGAUAAAACAGACUGAACAAGACUUGUUUUAAAAACAAAACAAACGCAACGCUGAAACGUGACAUGAUUUUGAUAAUUUGAUAUGAAAUGAUUCCAUUAUAAUAAAAAAAUAAAACGAUUUAACUCAAGUUGGCUAAAAAA
This is a long non-coding RNA of Anopheles gambiae (African malaria mosquito), 978 nucleotides long. RefSeq lists it as uncharacterized. The transcript is spliced from 4 exons. The record is from RefSeq and is a predicted model, not a curated record. Lineage: Eukaryota; Metazoa; Arthropoda; Insecta; Diptera; Culicidae.